CGUCGUUUAAGUAUACACAGUAAUAACAUACUAUGAAAGCAAUAUAUAUUUUCAUUGUCAGUAUCGUGGCAAACCUUGGUGAUAUUUAUGAAUUGAUAGUCCUCAAAAUAGAACAUUGGUCAUUCAAAGUCCACGCGGUCAACUCAAAACACUUAGUGAAGUAUGCAUCAUAAACAAACAUGUUUCGCUGUGUCUAUAAUAUUAGUAUUAUUAUCAUUUCUU
Paramuricea clavata is the source of this 222-nucleotide non-coding RNA. The record is from the annotation of a GenBank genome assembly. Lineage: Eukaryota; Metazoa; Cnidaria; Anthozoa; Malacalcyonacea; Plexauridae.